RNAcentral lists this ribosomal RNA (408 nucleotides) under uncultured soil bacterium. Its description in RNAcentral is "bacterial SSU rRNA". It matches the Rfam family "Bacterial small subunit ribosomal RNA", at positions 26 to 424 of the family's 1533-position model. The record is from RNAcentral.
AGAUUGAACGCUGGCGGCAUGCCUUACACAUGCAAGUCGAACGGCAGCACGGGGGCAAUCCUGGUGGCGAGUGGCGAACGGGUGAGUAAUACAUCGGAACGUGCCUAGUAGUGGGGGAUAGCCCGGCGAAAGCCGGAUUAAUACCGCAUACGACCUACGGGUGAAAGCGGGGAUCGCAAGACCUCGCGCUAUUGGAGCGGCUGAUGUCAGAUUAGGUAGUUGGUAGGUAAAGCCUACCAAGCCGACGAUCUGUAGCUGGUCUGAGAGGACGACAGCCACACGUGGACUGAGACCGACGGCCCAGACCUCCGUACGGGAGCAGCGAGGUCGGGAAUUUGGAACAAGUGGGCGACGAAGCCUAGGAAUCCCGAGCCAGUCGCCGCGUGGCGGGAAGACGGUCCUUCGGUA